This 302-nucleotide long non-coding RNA is filed under the name Equus caballus (horse). RNAcentral's name for it is "lncRNA (ENSECAG00000048343.1)". The record is from RNAcentral. Lineage: Eukaryota; Metazoa; Chordata; Mammalia; Perissodactyla; Equidae.
GAUUCGAAUCUGCUUAAAUUCGGGCUACUGUGGAGUUGGGGAGGAGUGGAGUCGCCAAGACCCUGCUUCCCCCGCUGGCGGUUGCAGCCGAAGGCUGUGGGAAAGGACAGUGAGGCUCGGAGAGGUGCAAUGAAUUUCCCUGUCACACAGCUGAAACCGGCAAACAGCCAUUGAUGAUUAAGUAUCUAGAGUCCUUUCUUCCUGAGGCCACUCUUACAUGGCCCUGACACGUGCCAGGCUCCGUCACGUCAUGUAUGCACUGACAGAUUAUCUCAUCAAGUCCACAAGGCUAACCUAUGAGG